Long non-coding RNA from Lingula anatina, 272 nucleotides. The record is from RefSeq and is a predicted model, not a curated record. NCBI's taxonomy places the organism in Eukaryota, Metazoa, Brachiopoda, Lingulata, Lingulida, Lingulidae.
CGAAUUUUAGUAGCGUUCGAGGCUGUAAUCGCGUUGCGUUUGCUAGGGCUUUGAGUUGGCAGGUGCGCUGUUUGGAUAUUUAUUUAUGCAUUCUCGAGAGUUAAGGAGGUCCUUCCAUUUUGAUGUUGAUUGUGACUGUAGGUGGCUUUAAUGUUAAAAUUAUGCUUAAACAGUACCUGGAAAAGGCGCUUUGCUGAAAGCGUGGGUGUUUUAUAUCUACAUGUGUAAUUUUAGUUGAUCUUUAUAAAUACAUUUGAGCCUAAUUUAAGAAU